RNAcentral lists this ribosomal RNA (406 nucleotides) under uncultured bacterium. RNAcentral's name for it is "partial 16S ribosomal RNA". It matches the Rfam family "Bacterial small subunit ribosomal RNA", at positions 30 to 526 of the family's 1533-position model. The record is from RNAcentral.
AUUGAACGCUGGCGGCAGGCCUAACACAUGCAAGUCGAACGAGUGGCGGACGGGUGAGUAAUGUCUGGGAAACUGCCUGAUGGAGGGGGAUAACUACUGGAAACGGUAGCUAAUACCGCAUACCAUCAGAUGUGCCCAGAUGGGAUUAGCUAGUUGGUGGGGUAACGGCUCACCAAGGCGACGAUCCCUAGCUGGUCUGCGAGGAUGACCAGCCACACUGGAACGGAGGCACGGGCCAGACUCCUACGCGAGGCAGCAGUGGGGAAUAUUGCACAAUGGGCGAAAGCCUGAUGAAGCCAUGCCGCUUGUAGGAAGAAGGCCUUCGGGUUUGAAAGUACUUUCGGCGGGGAGGCGUUACCCGCAGAAGAAGCACCGGCUAACUCCGUGCCAACAGCCGCGGUAAUAC